This 301-nucleotide ribosomal RNA is filed under the name uncultured bacterium. Its description in RNAcentral is "partial 16S ribosomal RNA". It matches the Rfam family "Bacterial small subunit ribosomal RNA", at positions 509 to 807 of the family's 1533-position model. The record is from RNAcentral.
CAGCAGCCGCGGUAAUACGAAGGGGGCUAGCGUUGUUCGGAAUUACUGGGCGUAAAGCGCACGUAGGCGGAUACUUAAGUCAGGGGUGAAAUCCCGGGGCUCAACCCCGGAACUGCCUUUGAUACUGGGUAUCUCGAGUCCGGAAGAGGUGAGUGGAAUUCCGAGUGUAGAGGUGAAAUUCGUAGAUAUUCGGAGGAACACCAGUGGCGAAGGCGGCUCACUGGUCCGGUACUGACGCUGAGGUGCGAAAGCGUGGGGAGCAAACAGGAUUAGAUACCCCGGUAGUCCCUGUCUCUUAUAC